Papilio xuthus (Asian swallowtail) is the source of this 308-nucleotide long non-coding RNA. RefSeq lists it as uncharacterized. Lineage: Eukaryota; Metazoa; Arthropoda; Insecta; Lepidoptera; Papilionidae. The record is from RefSeq and is a predicted model, not a curated record. The transcript has 4 exons.
CCGGGAACUUUACCCAGCAAGAUGAGUUGGAUCAAAUUGUAUCUGUCGUGCCUGAGCACGUGGCCGAGCGCUUAAUGAGGAAACAAGAAGAAUGUUUAUCUGCUGAGAGGGAUAUAGAAUGGAUUAUAUCGUGCUACAAGUGAGCUAGUCAACUAACCCUCGUUAGACCAGGUUGACAAUGGUCUAGUUAACCCUGACUUAAGUAUUUACCCUAUACGCAGCAUACAGUGGGCAGUCGAUAAUUACGUGCAGCAUGGACUCACCCUGUUCCGGAUCUCAGAUUUACAAGGGGCACGUCUUACAUUACA